UCAAUAGGGCCCAUUGAAUCUUGAUUGCAAGGUAACAAUUUGUUAGUUUGGAUAGUUUUUAGUCCGUAAUUACUGGAAUUAUUCAAACACAAGAACCCUUGGUGUAAAAACCUAGGAAAUUGCAUAAUCUAGCAAUAUCACCAUGCGUUUGGGUAGCUAGAAUUAGGUCUCUCUAUCUCUUAAUGCAAUUGACAGUUGUUUGUUGCCUAUGGUCCAAGGACGUUCCUUGGC
Molecule: long non-coding RNA, 231 nt
Filed under: Manihot esculenta (cassava)
Lineage: Eukaryota; Viridiplantae; Streptophyta; Magnoliopsida; Malpighiales; Euphorbiaceae
Description: long non-coding RNA (MESC_LNC007675)
Source: RNAcentral